Molecule: ribosomal RNA, 254 nt
Filed under: uncultured bacterium
Lineage: Bacteria
Description: partial 16S ribosomal RNA
Rfam family: Bacterial small subunit ribosomal RNA
Source: RNAcentral
UACGUAGGGUGCAAGCGUUAAUCGGAAUUACUGGGCGUAAAGCGUGCGCAGGCGGUUUUGUAAGUCUGUCGUGAAAGCCCCGGGCUCAACCUGGGAAUUGCGAUGGAGACUGCAAGGCUUGAAUCUGGCAGAGGGGGGUAGAAUUCCACGUGUAGCAGGUGAAAUGCGUAGAUAUGUGGAGGAACACCGAUGGCGAAGGCAGCCCCCUGGGUCAAAACUGACGCUCAUGCACGAAAGCGUGGGGAGCAAACAGG